This 369-nucleotide ribosomal RNA is filed under the name uncultured soil bacterium. Its description in RNAcentral is "bacterial SSU rRNA". It matches the Rfam family "Bacterial small subunit ribosomal RNA", at positions 26 to 394 of the family's 1533-position model. The record is from RNAcentral.
AGGACGAACGCUGGCGGCGUGCUUAACACAUGCAAGUCAUGGGGGCCCGCAAGGGCAACCGGCGAACGGGUGCGUAACACGUGAGCAAUCUGCCCAGAUGUGGGGGAUAGCCGGCCCAACGGCCGGGUAAUACCGCAUACGCUCUCCGAGUGGCAUCACUUGGUGACGGAAACCUCCGGGGCAUCUAGAGGAGCUCGCGCCUAUCAGCUAGUUGGUGGGGUAAUGGCCUACCAAGGCAUUGACGGGUAGCUGGUCUGAGAGGAUGGCCAGCCACAUUGGGACUGAGAUACGGACCCAGACUCCGUAACGGGAGGCAGGCAGGUAGGGGGAAUAGUUAGCGUACAAUCGGGACCGGAAAGGCUGACGCGA